Molecule: ribosomal RNA, 483 nt
Filed under: uncultured bacterium
Lineage: Bacteria
Description: partial 16S ribosomal RNA
Rfam family: Bacterial small subunit ribosomal RNA
Source: RNAcentral
GAUGAACGCUGGCGGCGUGCCUAACACAUGCAAGUCGAACGGAGUCGUUCUUGCAAUCUCUUCGGAGAUGGAAGUCUCGACUUAGGGUCGGACGGACGAGUAACGCGUGAGCAAUCUUCCUUGAAAAGGGGGAUAACAGGCGGAAACGGCUGCUAAUACCGCAUAAAGCAUUAAAUUCGCAUGUGUUUGAUGCCAAAUGAGCAAUCCGCUUUUCGAUGAGCUCGCGUCUGGUUGGCUAGUUGGCGGGGUAACGGCCCACCAAGGCGACGCUCAGUAGCCGGACUGAGGGGUUGAACGGCCGCCUUGGGACUGAGACGCGGCAGAGCCGCCUACGGGAGGCCGCAGUGGGGAAUAUUGCGGCAUGGGGGACACCCUGACGAAGCAACGCCGCGUGAUUGAAGACGCCUUUCGGGUUGUAAAGAUCUUUAAUCAGGGACGAAACAAAUGACGGUACCUGAAGAAUAAGCGCCGGCUAACUACGUG